AAAGCGUCAACUGUCACUCUUCUCCCAGCUGGAUCCAAUGAAGACAGAAAGUGCAGAUUCGAGGAUGCCAGAGCCCCCUCCACAAGACCCUGGUAUUCCCGAAGGCCUCAAAACAAGCCCCCUAAACACAGAGGCUCUCGGGGAGUUUGCCCAAAACAUGUCAGAGCACAUACUUCGAUCAGUUUUUAGCCAAAAGGAAACAGUAGAACCUGAGGAGUCCAUUUAUAACCAAGAGCACGAAAUGCUAGCUGAGGCGCUAGCAUCCGCAGUGAUUGAGAUCGCUCUGAGUGAAGUGUGUAGAGGAAGAAACUUAAAGGACCACAUGGAGGGUGCUGAAAUAGAGAUGGAGAACAACAAGGGUGAACACCAGUGUUUUGAGGAUAAAUCUAGAAGAGACCAAGAACACCAGACUUCUACCCAGCCUUGCCAUCCACCUCUAUCCCAGUCAGGGCUUCCCGCUGUGGGAUCCCUCGACUACCCCGACGCCCCACCGACCACGCCUCUUCUCCCAGAGCUGGAGAGGAGCAGAAGCAGCUUCGCCCGUAAGCUAAAAGGAGGCCUGGCAAAGGUUUUCCUACCCUCGCCUCCUCCACCAACGCCAAAGGACAAGGAGGACAACGGAGACGCUUUGAUCAGCGACCCUCAUGUGGAACUGAUGGAGCAUCUCAUGCAGUCGCUGUCUACAGAUGAUUUGGGGAGAGGCAAUUUCGAAGUAGCACCUCUGCAUGAACCAACUAUAGAGACUUUUGCACAGUGAUCUCAACCUACUGGCCCAACAGCUGGCUGAAACCAUUAUCACGUCCUCCAUUGAUGAAGCUAAAGUGCUUAUCUAGGAUUUAAAGUGAUUCAUGGAGUCAGGUAUGAUGAAUAGCCUAUAUAUAUGCACACACAAGCUCAGUCCAUGGACUAUAUAUAUACAUAAAAGGUGGACAUAGCCACCAUAACACAAUCAGUUUAAUUGUCUUUUGUAGCUAUCUUAGUGUUUUUAAGUCAGACACGAAAAGUGAACCACUUAUUGGUUAACAGCUUAUGAGUAACAAGUCAUUAACCAAUUAGCAUUUCCUGGUUUAUCCACCUUUCUGACUCAAAUAAUGAUGACAGAUUUACAAAGGAAUUUCAUACUCUGUACACUAUGAUGUAAAACUAGCAACUGAGCCUCAAAAAGUUACCAGGUAUUCAGUGACAUCAGAGAGUAUGGAAGUACAUCUAUAAUAGCAGAAGGCUUUUUAGAAACCUGAGUAAUCGCCCCCUGUUCGGCAUCAGAAAGAAUGCAGGUAAAAGCAAGAUAGAUAGACUAUCUCUAGCAUAUACUUCUGUCCUACUCCACAUACUCCUUCGCUACACGAUGACAUGACAAAACAUUCUGUUCUGCAGCACAGGGAGAGAAGAUGCCUGCCACUUUGAGUUCUCUAAGCCACUAAAACACUGUGGAUUGUGGACUAUCUUUAGAGUUGGUCUAUAUAUACCCUUUCUGUGCAGCUUUUGACUACAAUCCUCAGCAAGUCCAUAGUCCUACCCAUUACCAAGCCAGUACUUCUCUGUUGGUCACUCUGUAGACUUAGAAGCUAAAUCUAUCAUUUAUAUAUAGUCUGUGGGGUCUGUUACUGUUAUUUCCUCUAAAGUAGGCAAUACACAUUAUCUUACUCCAAGAUUUGGGAAUUUCAUUUGUUACAGGAGUUAAUAUGAUUCAUUUGCAUUUGAUUGUAAUAUUAUAUUAAUGCUAUUUAUUAAUGAUAACAUAUUAUUAUGAGUUCAACUGUGUAUUCGUUUGUGUUUCUUGUUCAGAAAUGAACUUGUCAUUGAGGUUAAGUGGCAUUUCUGCAUCCUGAAAACUGCUGGAUGAUAAGUAACUGUUACAUUUCAUGAUGGAUUAAAGUACACUGGAUCUGACUUUUAUUUCUUUCUUACAAAACAAUACUUGGCUCCAAAAGCAAUAACCACAUUUGUCCUUUGGAUGGCAGCACAGUAAAGAAAUUUCAGCAUUUUUCAGCAUGAGCUCAGCAGUGCUGACCUACUUGGGACAUGACAACAACUGGAAUUAAUUUUGUUUUCCAUUUAGGAAAUCAUUUACUUUUAAAUGGUGGUCACCUGUCAGUAAAAUUGUUUUGUUUUGUUUGAUUUUGCUUCUAUGGUCAGGUCCUGCCAAAAGGGAAAGCCCUGCUAAAUAUAAUGCAGAGUACAACGACUUGCAGACUGCUAUAUCUGUAACAGAAGAUGAAACUGGACAGCAGAUGUUCUGUAGAUGAACUUGUAUCACACUGGAUUAUAAUCAGACAUAACAUUGGCAAAUUGUUUGGUUAGUUUUCUUUGUAAUCACCCUCAAAAUCUUUAUGUAUCCAGCAUGACUCAUUCAGCCCGUUCACUGAGCAACGAUACUGGCAUUUUGGACAAAUUUGUGUUCUGGCUCAAAGAAAGCUCGUUUUCAUACUCACUUCGUCCUUGAUGUCAGACCUUGGAAGAACAAAAAGAAAAAAGAAAAAAAAACGGGGCGCCACAGGUCUUAACCAAACACUGAUGCGAUCCUGGAAUCGAAUAAAAACUCUGUUUUCUUUUUAAAUCAGUAACUACUUAAACACAGUUGGAGAUUGACAAAUUUACUGCAAGAAAAUCUUUGCUGAACUUUUAAAGUGCUGUUUUGAAUAAAGAGUCUCAUU
Astatotilapia calliptera (eastern happy) is the source of this 2654-nucleotide long non-coding RNA. Lineage: Eukaryota; Metazoa; Chordata; Actinopteri; Cichliformes; Cichlidae. The record is from Ensembl.